UACGGAGGAUGCGAGCGUUAUCCGGAUUUAUUGGGUUUAAAGGGUGCGCAGGCGGCACGGCAAGCCGGCGGUCAAAUCGCGGGGCUCAACCCCGCCCAGCCGUCGGAACUGCCGGGCUAGAGUGGGCGAGAAGUGCGCGGAAUGCGUGGUGUAGCGGUGAAAUGCAUAGAUAUCACGCAGAACUCCGAUUGCGGAGGCAGCGCACCGGCGCCCUACUGACGCUCAGGCACGAAAGCGUGGGUAUCGAACAGG
RNAcentral lists this ribosomal RNA (252 nucleotides) under uncultured bacterium. RNAcentral describes it as "partial 16S ribosomal RNA". It matches the Rfam family "Bacterial small subunit ribosomal RNA", at positions 524 to 776 of the family's 1533-position model. The record is from RNAcentral.